UGAAGAACUUGUUCAGAUUUGAUUUUCAACAUUGCAAUGAGUGGCGAACGGGUGAGUAACACGUGGGAAACCUACCUCUUAGCAGGGGAUAACAUUUGGAAACAAAUGCUAAUACCGUAUAAUAAUUAAAACCGCAUGGUUUUAGUUUAAAAGAUGGUCUUGCUAUCACUAAGAGAUGGUCCCGCGGUGUAUUAGUUAGUUGGUGAGGUAAAGGCCCACCAAGGCAAUGAUACGUAGCCGACCUGAGAGGGUGAUCGGCCACAUUGGGACUGAGACACGGCCCAAACUCCUACGGGAGGCAGCAGUAGGGAAUCUUCCACAAUGGACGAAAGUCUGAUGGAGCAACGCCGCGUGUGUGAUGAAGGGUUUCGGCUCGUAAAACACUGUUGUAAGAGAAGAAUGACAUUGAGAGUAACUGUUCAAUGUGUGACGGUAUCUUACCAGAAAGGAACGGCUAAAUACGUGCCAGCAGCCGCGGUAAUACGUAUGUUCCAAGCGUUAUCCGGAUUUAUUGGGCGUAAAGCGAGCGCAGACGGUUAUUUAAGUCUGAAGUGAAAGCCCUCGGCUCAACCGAGGAAUUGCUUUGGAAACUGGAUAACUUGAGUGCAGUAAAGGAAAGUGGAACUCCAUGUGUAGCGGUGAAAUGCGUAGAUAU
This 655-nucleotide ribosomal RNA is filed under the name uncultured Weissella sp. Its description in RNAcentral is "bacterial SSU rRNA". It matches the Rfam family "Bacterial small subunit ribosomal RNA", at positions 66 to 697 of the family's 1533-position model. Lineage: Bacteria; Bacillati; Bacillota; Bacilli; Lactobacillales; Lactobacillaceae. The record is from RNAcentral.